GAUGAACGCUAGCUACAGGCUUAACACAUGCAAGUCGCGGGGCAGCAUGGGGGUUGCUUGCAAUCCCCGAUGGCGACCGGCGCACGGGUGAGUAACGCGUAUUCAACCUGCCCUUCACCACGGGAUAACCCGGCGAAAGUCGGACUAAUACCGUAUGUUGUCCAUUGACGGCAUCCGAUUUGGACGAAAGGCUUGGCGGUGAGGGAUGGGGAUGCGUCCGAUUAGCCAGACGGCGGGGUAACGGCCCACCGUGGCUACGAUCGGUAGGGGUUCUGAGAGGACGGUCCCCCACACUGGAACUGAGACACGGUCCAGACUCCUACGGGAGGCAGCAGUGGGGAAUAUUGGGCAAUGGGCGUAAGCCUUAACCAGCCAAGUAGCGUGCAGGAUGACGGCCCUAUGGGUUGUAAACUGCUUUUAUGCUGGGAUAAAGUGGCCCCCGUGUGGGAUUUUGCAGGUACCGCAUGAAUAAGGACCGGCUAAUUCCGUG
Molecule: ribosomal RNA, 490 nt
Filed under: uncultured bacterium
Lineage: Bacteria
Description: partial 16S ribosomal RNA
Rfam family: Bacterial small subunit ribosomal RNA
Source: RNAcentral